Molecule: long non-coding RNA, 339 nt
Organism: Dipodomys spectabilis (banner-tailed kangaroo rat)
Lineage: Eukaryota; Metazoa; Chordata; Mammalia; Rodentia; Heteromyidae
Exons: 3
Source: RefSeq, a predicted model, not a curated record
GAAGGAACUUAGCAUAACUUGCCUGCCUUUAAUUUCAUACUAAAUUCUGCUCCAUCAUCUAACUCCAAAGAACUGUCUUCUCAGAACAAAGAAAGCUCAGAAUUCCAAAGCUGAAAUAUCCAAGAAACUAUUGCCCCCAGCUCCAGCUGGUGGAAUUACUAUCCUGGAGUGUGAAUCAGAAUCACAAGGAGACACAUACAUGUCCAGCCAUUACUCCAGAGACUGGGAAUCAGUGCUCCCUCCGCCUGACUCGACUGGACCCAGCAAGGUGUCUGUUCCAAAGUUCUAAAGGGGAUUCUAAGGAAUGCUCCUGAUGAGAACGGUGAAAGGAUUUCUAUC